GUCUGGGUGGCGUCGGGGGGGAUAGUGUGAUAGUACAGGUGUCUGGGUGGCGUCGGGGGUGAUAGUGUGAUAGUACAGGUGUCUGGGUGGCGUCGCGGGUGAUAGUGUGAUAGUACAGGUGUCUGGGUGGCGUCGCGGGUGAUAGUACAGGUGUCUGGGUGGCGUCAGGGGUGAUAGUGUGAUAGUACAGGUGUCUGGGUGGCGUCAGGGGUGAUAGUGUGAUAGUACAGGUGUCUGGGUGGUGUCGCGGGUGAUAGUGUGAUAGUACAGGUGUCUGGGUGGCGUCGCGGGUGAUAGUGUGAUAGUACAGGUGUCUGGGUGGCGUCGGGGGGGAUAGUGUGAUAGUACAGGUGUCUGGGUGGCGUCGCGGGUGAUAGUGUGAUAGUACAGGUGUCUGGGUGGCGUCGCGGGUGAUAGUGUGAUAGUACAGGUGUCUGGGUGGCGUCGGGGGUGAUAGUGUGAUAGUACAGGUGUCUGGGUGGCGUCGCGGGUGAUAGUGUGAUAGUACAGGUGUCUGGGUGGUGUCGCGGGUGAUAGUGUGAUAGUACAGGUGUCUGGGUGGCGUCGCGGGUGAUAGUGUGAUAGUACAGGUGUCUGGGUGGCGUCGGGGGUGAUAGUGUGAUAGUACAGGUGUCUGGGUGGCGUCGCGGGGGAUAGUGUGAUAGUACAGGUGUCUGGGUGGCGUCGCGGGGGAUAGUGUGAUAGUACAGGUGUCUGGGUGGCGUCGCGGGUGAUAGUGUGAUAGUACAGGUGUCUGGGUGGCGUCGCGGGUGAUAGUGUGAUAGUACAGGUGUCUGGGUGGCGUCUGGGGUGAUAGUACAGAUGUCUGGGUGGCGUCUGGGGUGAUAGUACAGGUGUCUGGGUGGCGUCUGGGGUGAUAGUACAGGUGUCUGGGUGGCGUCUGGGGUGAUAGUACAGGUGUCUGGGUGGCGUCUGAGGUGAUAGUACAGGUGUCUGGGUGGCGUCUGGGGUGAUAGUACAGGUGUCUGGGUGGCGUCUGGGGUGAUAGUACAGGUGUCUGGGUGGCGUCUGGGGUGAUAAUAGUACAGGUGUCUGGGUGGCGUCUGGGGUGAUAGUAGUACAGGUGUCUGG
This is a long non-coding RNA of Portunus trituberculatus (swimming crab), 1092 nucleotides long. RefSeq lists it as uncharacterized. The transcript has 3 exons. The record is from RefSeq and is a predicted model, not a curated record. NCBI's taxonomy places the organism in Eukaryota, Metazoa, Arthropoda, Malacostraca, Decapoda, Portunidae.